CACGUAGGCGGCAUAGCAAGUUAAGGGUGAAAUCCCGGGGCUUAACUCCGGAACUGCUCUUAAAACUGCUAAGCUAGAGAUAGUCAGAGGCGGGUGGAAUUCCUGGUGUAGAGGUGAAAUUCGUAGAUAUCAGGAGGAACACCGGUGGCGAAGGCGGCCCGCUGGGGCUAUUCUGACGCUAAGGUGCGAAAGCGUGGGGAGCGAACG
RNAcentral lists this ribosomal RNA (207 nucleotides) under uncultured bacterium. RNAcentral's name for it is "partial 16S ribosomal RNA". It matches the Rfam family "Bacterial small subunit ribosomal RNA", at positions 568 to 774 of the family's 1533-position model. The record is from RNAcentral.